This 497-nucleotide ribosomal RNA is filed under the name uncultured bacterium. RNAcentral describes it as "partial 16S ribosomal RNA". It matches the Rfam family "Bacterial small subunit ribosomal RNA", at positions 28 to 507 of the family's 1533-position model. The record is from RNAcentral.
GAUGAACGCUGGCGGCGUGCCUAAUACAUGCAAGUCGAGCGAAAAGACGAGGAGCUUGCUCCUCUGACGUUAGCGGCGGACGGGUGAGUAACACGUGGAUAACCUACCUAUAAGACUGGGAUAACUUCGGGAAACCGGAGCUAAUACCGGAUAAUAUAUUGAACCGCAUGGUUCAAUAGUGAAAUACGGUUUUGCUGUCACUUAUAGAUGGAUCCGCGCCGCAUUAGCUAGUUGGUAAGGUAACGGCUUACCAAGGCAACGAUGCGUAGACGACCUGAGAGGGUGAUCGGCCACACGGGAACUGAGACACGGUCCAGACUCCUACGGGAGGCAGCAGUAGGGAAUCUUCCGCAAUGGGCGAAAGCUUGACGGAGCAACGCCGCGUGAGUGAUGAAGGUCUUCGGAGCGUAAAACUCUGUUAUUAGGGAAGAACAAAUGUGUAAGUAACUAUGCACGUCUUGACGGUACCUAAUCAGAAAGCCACGGCUAACUACGUG